RNAcentral lists this ribosomal RNA (270 nucleotides) under uncultured archaeon. RNAcentral's name for it is "partial 16S ribosomal RNA". It matches the Rfam family "Archaeal small subunit ribosomal RNA", at positions 477 to 747 of the family's 1478-position model. The record is from RNAcentral.
CAGCACCUCAAGUGGUCAGGAUGAUUAUUGGGCCUAAAGCAUCCGUAGCCUGUUCUGUAAGUUUCCGGUUAAAUCCAUUAGCUCAACUAAUGGGCCGCCGAAAAUACUGCAGAACUAGGGAGUGGGAGAGGUAGACGGUACUCGGUAGGAAGGGGUAAAAUCCUUUGAUCUAUUGAUGACCACCUGUGGCGAAGGCGGUCUACCAGAACACGUCCGACGGUGAGGGAUGAAAGCUGGGGGAGCAAACCGGAUUAGAUACCCGCGUAGUCC